GGAUUCCCCUAGUAACUGCGAGUGAAGCGGGAAAAGCUCAAAUUUAAAAUCUGGCAGUCUUUGGCUGUCCGAGUUGUAAUCUAGAGAAGUGUUAUCCGCGCUGGACCGUGUACAAGUCUCCUGGAAUGGAGCGUCAUAGAGGGUGAGAAUCCCGUCUUUGACACGGACUGCCAGGGCUUUUGUGAUGCGCUCUCAAAGAGUCGAGUUGUUUGGGAAUGCAGCUCAAAAUGGGUGGUAAAUUCCAUCUAAAGCUAAAUAUUGGCGAGAGACCGAUAGCGAACAAGUACCGUGAGGGAAAGAUGAAAAGAACUUUGGAAAGAGAGUUAAACAGUACGUGAAAUUGCUGAAAGGGAAACGCUUGAAGUCAGUCGCGUUGUCCAGGGAUCAACUCUUGCUUUUGCUUGGUGUACUUUCUGGUUAAUGGGUCAGCAUCAAUUUUGACUAUUGGAAAAAGAUUAGGGGAAUGUGGCAUCUUUGGAUGUGUUAUAGCCCUUGGUUGCAUACAUUAGUUGGGAUUGAGGAACUCAGCACGCCGCAAGGCCGAGUUUUUAACUACGUACGUGCUUAGGAUGCUGGCAUAAUGGCUUUAAUCGACCCGUCUUGAAACACGGACCAAGGAGUCUAACAUACCUGCGAGUGUUUGGGUGGAAAACCCGAGCGCGCAAUGAAAGUGAAAGUUGAGAUCCCUGUCGUGGGGAGCAUCGACGCCCGGACCUGACCUUUUGUGACGGUUCCGCGGUAGAGCAUGUAUGUUGGGACCCGAAAGAUGGUGAACUAUGCCUGAAUAGGGUGAAGCCAGAGGAAACUCUGGUGGAGGCUCGUAGCGAUUCUGACGUGCAAAUCGAUCGUCAAAUUUGGGUAUAGGGGCGAAAGACUA
This 877-nucleotide ribosomal RNA is filed under the name Calonarius hildegardiae. RNAcentral describes it as "Cortinarius hildegardiae partial large subunit ribosomal RNA". It matches the Rfam family "Eukaryotic large subunit ribosomal RNA", at positions 72 to 933 of the family's 3401-position model. Lineage: Eukaryota; Fungi; Basidiomycota; Agaricomycetes; Agaricales; Cortinariaceae. The record is from RNAcentral.